RNAcentral lists this long non-coding RNA (290 nucleotides) under Daucus carota (carrot). RNAcentral's name for it is "long non-coding RNA (DCAR_LNC001819)". Lineage: Eukaryota; Viridiplantae; Streptophyta; Magnoliopsida; Apiales; Apiaceae. The record is from RNAcentral.
CGUUUUAAUUCCGAAAAAUGUUCUAAAAUCCAUAUCAAAUGCCAGAAAAAUCCUUUUGACUUCAAACCUUCUUUGAAAAAUAAAUUUUAUCGAAUAUCUUAUGUGAUACGUGUUAUGUGAUAUCUGAUUGAUGUGUUACGUGUCUACAUGAACAUUAUAGGAUUGUUUUGAUAUAUCUUUUGAUCCGUAAGUCGGAUUUAAAUGAAACGAAGGGUAGUUAGGAACUCGUUGCGAAGGUGUGAUAAUAAGAAUAGUAUGAGAUCAUAUAUUGAUAAAGAAUUGUUGUGAUU